This 468-nucleotide ribosomal RNA is filed under the name uncultured bacterium. Its description in RNAcentral is "partial 16S ribosomal RNA". It matches the Rfam family "Bacterial small subunit ribosomal RNA", at positions 28 to 507 of the family's 1533-position model. The record is from RNAcentral.
GACGAACGCUGGCGGCGUGCUUAACACAUGCAAGUCGAACGGAAAGGCCCUGCUUUUGUGGGGUGCUCGAGUGGCGAACGGGUGAGUAACACGUGAGUAACCUGCCCUUGACUUUGGGAUAACUUCAGGAAACUGGGGCUAAUACCGGAUAGGAGCUCCUGCUGCAUGGUGGGGGUUGGAAAGGUUCGGCGGGUGGGGAUGGACUCGCGGCUUAUCAGCUUGUUGGUGGGGUAGUGGCUUACCAAGGCUUUGACGGGUAGCCGGCCUGAGAGGGUGACCGGCCACAUUGGGACUGAGAUACGGCCCAGACUCCUACGGGAGGCAGCAGUGGGGAAUAUUGCACAAUGGGAGGAAGCCUGAUGCAGCACCGCCGCGUGGGGGAUGACGGCCUUCGGGUUGUAAACCGCUUUCGCCUGUGACGAAGCGUGAGUGACGGUAAUGGGUAAAGAAGCACCGGCUAACUACGUG